AGUGAACGCUGGCGGUAGGCCUAACACAUGCAAGUCGAACGGCAGCACAGUAAGAGCUUGCUCUUACGGGUGGCGAGUGGCGGACGGGUGAGGAAUACAUCGGAAUCUACUUUUUCGUGGGGGAUAACGUAGGGAAACUUACGCUCAUACCGCAUACGACCUACGGGUGAAAGCAGGGGAUCUUCGGACCUUGCGCGAUUGAAUGAGCCGAUGUCGGAUUAGCUAGUUGGCGGGGUAAACGCCCACCAAGGCGACGAUCCGUAGCUGGUCCGAGAGGAAGAUCCACCACACCUGAACUGAAAACCCGUCCCAACUCCCUCGGGAAGCCACAAUUGGGAAAUAUCGACAAUUGGCGCAAGCCUCAUCCCACCAAACCCCGGUGGGGAAGAAAGCCCUUCGGUUGGAAAGCCCUUUUGUUGGGAAAGAAAAGCAGCAGGUUAAUACCCCGCUGUUCUGACGGUACCCAAAGAAUAAGCACCGGCUAACUUCGUG
RNAcentral lists this ribosomal RNA (492 nucleotides) under uncultured bacterium. RNAcentral's name for it is "partial 16S ribosomal RNA". It matches the Rfam family "Bacterial small subunit ribosomal RNA", at positions 29 to 507 of the family's 1533-position model. The record is from RNAcentral.